This 446-nucleotide ribosomal RNA is filed under the name uncultured bacterium. RNAcentral's name for it is "partial 16S ribosomal RNA". It matches the Rfam family "Bacterial small subunit ribosomal RNA", at positions 354 to 796 of the family's 1533-position model. The record is from RNAcentral.
GUAAGGAAUAUUGGGCAAUGGAGGCAACUCUGACCCAGCCAUGCCGCGUGAAGGAUUGACGGCCCUCUGGGUUGUAAACUUCUUUUGUACGGGAAUAACCCUCCGAACGUGUUCGGAGCUGAAGGUACCGUAAGAAUAAGGAUCGGCUAACUCCGUGCCAGCAGCCGCGGUAAUACGGAGGAUCCAAGCGUUAUCCGGAUUUACUGGGUUUAAAGGGUGCGUAGGCGGAUUGAUAAGUCAGUGGUGAAAUCCUGCAGCUUACCUGCAGAACUGCCAUGGAUACUGCCAGUCUGGAGUAUGGUUGAGGUAGCUGGAAUGUGUCAUGUAGCGGUGAAAUGCUUAGAGAUGACACAGAACACCGACGGCGAAGGCAGGUUACCAACCCAUUACUGACGCUGAGGCACGAAAGCGUGGGGAUCAAACAGGAUUAGAAACCCGAGUAGUCC